AUACGGAGGGGGUUAGCGUUGUUGGGAAUUACUGGGCGUAAAGCGUACGUAGGCGGACUGGAAAGUUGGGGGGGAAAUCCCGGGGCUCAACCCCGGAACUGCCUCCAAAACUUCCAAUCUAGAGAUCGAGAGAGGUGAGUGGAAUUCCAAGUGUAGAGGUGAAAUUCGUAGAUAUUUGGAGGAACACCAGUGGCGAAGGCGGCUCACUGGCUCGAUACUGACGCUGAGGUACGAAAGCGUGGGGAGCAAACAGGAUUAGAAACCCUAGUAGUCC
This 274-nucleotide ribosomal RNA is filed under the name uncultured bacterium. RNAcentral's name for it is "partial 16S ribosomal RNA". It matches the Rfam family "Bacterial small subunit ribosomal RNA", at positions 523 to 796 of the family's 1533-position model. The record is from RNAcentral.